CCGGCUAACUACGUGCCAGCAGCCGCGGUAAUACGUAGGGUGCAAGCGUUAUCCGGAAUUAUUGGGCGUAAAGGGCUCGUAGGCGGUUCGUCGCGUCCGGUGUGAAAGUCCAUCGCUUAACGGUGGAUCUGCGCCGGGUACGGGCGGGCUGGAGUGCGGUAGGGGAGACUGGAAUUCCCGGUGUAACGGUGGAAUGUGUAGAUAUCGGGAAGAACACCAAUGGCGAAGGCAGGUCUCUGGGCCGUUACUGACGCUGAGGAGCGAAAGCGUGGGGAGCGAACAGGAUUAGAUACCCUGGUAGUCCACGCCGUAAACGGUGGAUGCUGGAUGUGGGGCCCGUUCCACGGGUUCCGUGUCGGAGCUAACGCGUUAAGCAUCCCGCCUGGGGAGUACGGCCGCAAGGCUAAAACUCAAAGAAAUUGACGGGGGCCCGCACAAGCGGCGGAGCAUGCGGAUUAAUUCGAUGCAACGCGAAGAACCUUACCUGGGCUUGACAUGUUCCCGACAGCCGUAGAGAUAUGGCCUCCCUUCGGGGCGGGUUCACAGGUGGUGCAUGGUCGUCGUCAGCUCGUGUCGUGAGAUGUUGGGUUAAGUCCCGCAACGAGCGCAACCCUCGCCCUGUGUUGCCAGCACGUCAUGGUGGGAACUCACGGGGGACCGCCGGGGUCAACUCGGAGGAAGGUGGGGAUGACGUCAGAUCAUCAUGCCCCUUACGUCCAGGGCUUCACGCAUGCUACAAUGGCCGGUACAACGGGAUGCGACACGGCGACGUGGAGCGGAUCCCUGAAAACCGGUCUCAGUUCGGAUUGGAGUCUGCAACCCGACUCCAUGAAGGCGGAGUCGCUAGUAAUCGCGGAUCAGCAACGCCGCGGUGAAUGCGUUCCCGGGCCUUGUACACACCGCCCGUCAAGUCAUGAAAGUGGGUAGCACCCGAAGCCGGUGGCCUAACCCUUUGUGGAUGGAGCCGUCUAAGGUGAGACUCGUGAUUGGGACUAAGUCGUAACAAGGUAGCCGUACCGGAAGGUGCGGCUG
Molecule: ribosomal RNA, 1032 nt
Filed under: human gut metagenome
Description: bacterial SSU rRNA
Rfam family: Bacterial small subunit ribosomal RNA
Source: RNAcentral